Molecule: long non-coding RNA, 282 nt
Organism: Nothoprocta perdicaria
Lineage: Eukaryota; Metazoa; Chordata; Aves; Tinamiformes; Tinamidae
Exons: 3
Source: RefSeq, a predicted model, not a curated record
ACCUGCUUGACCUUAAAGGUUGUGUUCUGGGAGUCUGAAGUGGAAACUUUCACGACAAAAUUAGCAGAGAAGGAUGUGUACCAACUCGAAACAGACAGAUAUAUAUGGGUUGCAGCUUGCAGAGCAGUCAUUUCACAAUGGGGCUGCUGGCGUGAAAGUGAUGCCUGGCAAAGUAAUGGAUGUAUUGAUACAGACCUCUAUUGGUUUAAAAGCACUGUGAUGUAUGAAAUAGAAGCAUUGCAGCAACUAGGAGGGAACUUGGUCAUUCAGCCUUCUUGUACU